This 305-nucleotide ribosomal RNA is filed under the name uncultured bacterium. RNAcentral describes it as "bacterial SSU rRNA". It matches the Rfam family "Bacterial small subunit ribosomal RNA", at positions 337 to 659 of the family's 1533-position model. The record is from RNAcentral.
UCCUACGGGGCGCAGCAGUGGGGGAUAUUGCACAAUGGGGGAAACCCUGAUGCAGCGACGCCGCGUGGGUGAAGAAGCGCCUCGGCGCGUAAAGCCCUGUCAGCAGGGAAGAAAAUGACGGUACCUGAAGAAGAAGCCCCGGCUAACUACGUGCCAGCAGCCGCGGUAAUACGUAGGGGGCAAGCGUUAUCCGGAUUUACUGGGUGUAAAGGGGGCGCAGACGGCGAUGCAAGCCAGGAGUGAAAGCCCGUGGCUCAACCGCGGAACUGCUUUGGAAACUGUUAAGCUGGAGUACUGGAGAGGCG